ACUUUCAGUAGGGAGGAAGGUAGUGUAGUUAACACCUGCAUUAUUUGACGUUACCUACAGAAGAAGCACCGGCUAACUCCGUGCCAGCAGCCGCGGUAAUACGGAGGGUGCGAGCGUUAAUCGGAAUUACUGGGCGUAAAGCGCAUGCAGGCGGCCUGUUAAGUCAGAUGUGAAAGACCCGGGGCGUUAACCUCGGAAUUGCAUUUGAAACUGGCAGGCUAGAGUCUUGUAGAGGGGGGUAGGAAUUUCAGGUGUAGCGGUGAAAUGCGUAGAGAUCUGAAGGAAUACCAGUGGCGAAGGCGGCCCCCUCGGACAAAGACUGACGCUCAGAUGCGAAAGCGUGGGGAGCAAACAGGAUUAGAUACCCUGGUAG
This 373-nucleotide ribosomal RNA is filed under the name uncultured bacterium. Its description in RNAcentral is "bacterial SSU rRNA". It matches the Rfam family "Bacterial small subunit ribosomal RNA", at positions 432 to 793 of the family's 1533-position model. The record is from RNAcentral.